This 2297-nucleotide long non-coding RNA is filed under the name Salmo salar (Atlantic salmon). RNAcentral describes it as "lncRNA (ENSSSAG00000110830.1)". Lineage: Eukaryota; Metazoa; Chordata; Actinopteri; Salmoniformes; Salmonidae. The record is from RNAcentral.
CCCAAAUGCACACAAACGUCACACACACACACACACACACACACACACACACACACACACACACACACACACACACACACACACACACACACACACACACACACACACACACACACACACACACACACACACAAAUUCUGACACAUACUGUAUAUGCAGACACAUAUGCCAGGGUACAAACACACACGGCUCUGCACAUUAAGGCAUAUAUAAGGAGAAGCAGAGGUAGAGAGAGGAGGAAGCAUGAGUGUGUCCAAGACAAACAGGGAAUGAGGCUUCAGCUUGCCAAAGAGCUUCUGAUCCACCCACCCCUACUCUCCACACUGUUUAGUCCAUGUCAGAGUCACUCCCCUCUCUCUCGCACUGAGCCCACAGCACAGGGAUCGGCUGCUAUGGCUGAUAUACAUCUGAAGGAGAGAGAAAGGUCAGGUGGACUUCCUUGUUGUUUGGUACACUGCUAGUACACUGUUCUGAACUGCUUUUACCCUAAAGCUUCUGAUGCUGAACUGAGAUUGGCUCUUCUAGCCUCUGUUUCAACCCUGGUUCAGUGUAUCGUUGUCAUGUUAUCUGUACCUGAUGACGCUAACUGAUCUAGUCAGGCUAUUCAAUCCCACAUGGUUGCACUGUGACCUUAUAUAACUGGUCAGAUCACUCCGGACCAUACUGUACCUACUGUAUGAGGCGCUGUUUAUGUAAACUGUCUCCCUGUGCCAAGUUGUUCCUAAAACCAUUUCUCUCAAACCGUUCUUCCUCCUUUACAGAUUAAUUCAAGGGAAAACAUAAGGGGCAAGUGAUCAUUACCAGUGUAUCAUUACCAGUGUAUCAAUACCAGGGAUCAUUACCAGUGUAUCAAUACCAGUGUAUCAAUACCAGGGAUCAAUACCAGUGUAUCAAUACCAGGGAUCAUUACCAGUGUAUCAAUACCAGGGAUCAUUACCAGUGUAUCAUUACCAGUGUAUCAAUACCAGGGAUCAUUACCAGUGUAUCAAUACCAGGGAUCAUUACCAGUGUAUCAAUACCAGGGAUCAUUACCAGUGUAUCAAUACCAGGGAUCAUUACCAGUGUAUCAAUACCAGGGAUCAUUACCAGUGUAUCAUUACCAGUGUAUCAUUACCAGUGUAUCAAUACCAGUGUAUCAUUACCAGUGUAUCAAUACCAGGGAUCAUUACCAGUGUAUCAUUACCAGUGUAUCAAUACCAUGUAUCAUUACCAGUGUAUCAAUACCAGGGAUCAUUACCAGUGUAUCAAUACCAGUGUAUCAAUACCAGGGAUCAAUACCAGUGUAUCAAUACCAGGGAUCAUUACCAGUGUAUCAUCACCAGUGUAUCAAUACCAGGGAUCAUUACCAGUGUAUCAUUACCAGUGUAUCAAUACCAGGGAUCAUUACCAGUGUAUCAUUACCAGUGUAUCAAUACCAGGGAUCAUUACCAGUGUAUCAAUACCAGGGAUCAUUACCAGUGUAUCAAUACCAGGGAUCAUUACCAGUGUAUCAAUACCAGGGAUCAUUACCAGUGUAUCAUUACCAGUGUAUCAAUACCAGGGAUCAUUACCAGUGUAUCAUUACCAGUGAUCAUUACCAGUGUAUCAUUACCAGUGAUCAUUACCAGUGUAUCAAUACCAGGGAUCAUUACCAGUGUAUCAUUACCAGUGAUCAUUACCAGUGUAUCAAUACCAGGGAUCAUUACCAGUGUAUCAUUACCAGUGUAUCAAUACCAGGGAUCAUUACCAGUGUAAAUCAAAUGAUGAAGCAUCUGAUUUAGUUCUGCAGUCAACAGUGACAUGGUAAGUCUACAGGAGACAGCAUCUCCGCGCACACACACACACACACACACACACACACACACACACACACACACACACACACACACACACACACACACACACACACACACACACACACACACACACACACACACACAGAGAGAGAGCGAGAGGAAUACCUUACUCAUCAGGAGUGAGUAUCAUAUCAAAUGCCUGUACUGUUACAUUUAUUCAACUGGAUUGAAAAUAAAAAUAUAUCUGCUAAAAUGUUGAUGAUGACAGCAUUUAGCUUUUUAUGUGAAUAAGAGAACAACUUGUCUCCUCUUUAGACCCUCCAGCAGCAGCAUCCAUUAAAUAUUUCAAACAAAGAAAACUGCCAUUGCUACUGUAUAUCUGUCUUCCUCUCUGUCUGUUUUUCAUUCUCUCUUUUUCUCCCUCUUCCUCUCUCUCUAUUUUUCUCCCGCUUCCUCUCUCUAUAUUUCUCCCUCACCCUCUAUUUUUCUCCCUCUUCCCUUCCUCCCUCCCUCCCUCCCUCC